RNAcentral lists this ribosomal RNA (954 nucleotides) under Staphylococcus aureus. Its description in RNAcentral is "bacterial SSU rRNA". It matches the Rfam family "Bacterial small subunit ribosomal RNA", at positions 1 to 936 of the family's 1533-position model. The record is from RNAcentral. Lineage: Bacteria; Bacillati; Bacillota; Bacilli; Caryophanales; Staphylococcaceae.
UUUAUGGAGAGUUUGAUCCUGGCUCAGGAUGAACGCUGGCGGCGUGCCUAAUACAUGCAAGUCGAGCGAACGGACGAGAAGCUUGCUUCUCUGAUGUUAGCGGCGGACGGGUGAGUAACACGUGGAUAACCUACCUAUAAGACUGGGAUAACUUCGGGAAACCGGAGCUAAUACCGGAUAAUAUUUUGAACCGCAUGGUUCAAAAGUGAAAGACGGUCUUGCUGUCACUUAUAGAUGGAUCCGCGCUGCAUUAGCUAGUUGGUAAGGUAACGGCUUACCAAGGCAACGAUGCAUAGCCGACCUGAGAGGGUGAUCGGCCACACUGGAACUGAGACACGGUCCAGACUCCUACGGGAGGCAGCAGUAGGGAAUCUUCCGCAAUGGGCGAAAGCCUGACGGAGCAACGCCGCGUGAGUGAUGAAGGUCUUCGGAUCGUAAAACUCUGUUAUUAGGGAAGAACAUAUGUGUAAGUAACUGUGCACAUCUUGACGGUACCUAAUCAGAAAGCCACGGCUAACUACGUGCCAGCAGCCGCGGUAAUACGUAGGUGGCAAGCGUUAUCCGGAAUUAUUGGGCGUAAAGCGCGCGUAGGCGGUUUUUUAAGUCUGAUGUGAAAGCCCACGGCUCAACCGUGGAGGGUCAUUGGAAACUGGAAAACUUGAGUGCAGAAGAGGAAAGUGGAAUUCCAUGUGUAGCGGUGAAAUGCGCAGAGAUAUGGAGGAACACCAGUGGCGAAGGCGACUUUCUGGUCUGUAACUGACGCUGAUGUGCGAAAGCGUGGGGAUCAAACAGGAUUAGAUACCCUGGUAGUCCACGCCGUAAACGAUGAGUGCUAAGUGUUAGGGGGUUUCCGCCCCUUAGUGCUGCAGCUAACGCAUUAAGCACUCCGCCUGGGGAGUACGACCGCAAGGUUGAAACUCAAAGGAAUUGACGGGGACCCGCACAAGCGGUGGA